Molecule: ribosomal RNA, 548 nt
Filed under: uncultured Glomeromycotina
Lineage: Eukaryota; Fungi; Glomeromycota
Description: SSU rRNA
Rfam family: Eukaryotic small subunit ribosomal RNA
Source: RNAcentral
UUGGAGGGCAAGUCUGGUGCCAGCAGCCGCGGUAAUUCCAGCUCCAAUAGCGUAUAUUAAAGUUGUUGCAGUUAAAAAGCUCGUAGUUGAAUUUCGGGAUCAGAGUGUCGGUCGUGCCUCGGUACGAACUGGUAUUAUUGGUUCCUACCUUCUGAAGAACCGCGAUGUCAUUAAUUUGGUGUCGUGGGGAAUCAGGACUGUUACUUUGAAAAAAUUAGAGUGUUUAAAGCAGGCUUACGCUUGAAUACAUUAGCAUGGAAUAAUGAAAUAGGACGUUUGAUUCUAUUUUGUUGGUUUCUAGGAUUGACGUAAUGAUUAAUAGGGAUAGUUGGGGGCAUUAGUAUUCAAUUGUCAGAGGUGAAAUUCUUGGAUUUAUUGAAGACUAACUACUGCGAAAGCAUUUGCCAAGGAUGUUUUCAUUAAUCAAGAACGAAAGUUAGGGGAUCGAAGACGAUCAGAUACCGUCGUAGUCUUAACCAUAAACUAUGCCGACUAGGGAUCGGAUGAUGUUAAUUUUUUAAUGACUCAUUCGGCGCCUUACGGGAAAC